This 529-nucleotide long non-coding RNA is filed under the name Macaca mulatta (Rhesus monkey). RNAcentral's name for it is "lncRNA (ENSMMUG00000054833.1)". Lineage: Eukaryota; Metazoa; Chordata; Mammalia; Primates; Cercopithecidae. The record is from RNAcentral.
GCAUUCUGGAAAAAGAUGCAGACUGGUACAGGCUGAAAGCGCAGCGGAGAUGACACUGUUUCAAGAUUCCUGCACCAGCCCCUUUGUGGUUAUAGAAGUUGGAUUAAAUAAAAGGGCAUGCCGUGAACUGGAAAAUGUUUUUGAAAUCAAGGAAAAGCAGCAAAAAGGAAGGCGUUACCAUGGAACUGAGAGAGGAGAUAAAAAUCUUUGUUCCUGAUGGUCUUGUUCCCACCUGCCUGGGUGCUGCAGCUCUGUGCUGCCUGAGAAAGCCAGUGACCAAGAGGAGCAGAAGACUACCAGUCGACCUUCCAACCACGAUGGCCGUUGAAGAGAUGCCAUCAAGCCAGGGUCUCUGCUUCUCCCUGCUGCAGCCUGUAUCCGAGACUGGCUUCCUGACCUGCACCUCAGUGAAAGGAAGGAAAGAGAAGGGGAAAGAGAAACAGAAGGUACAGCAACUUUUUAAUAACUUUUUUCCUUAUUCCUUUUGCUCACAGUAAUUCUCACACUCUGCACCUGCCCCGAAGGUUUG